GCUCGCGUAGUUCAGUGGCAGAAUACAAAUCUCGUAAAUUUGGGACAUGCGUUCGAUUCGCAUCGUGAGCU
This 71-nucleotide transfer RNA is filed under the name Pseudomonadota bacterium. Its description in RNAcentral is "Proteobacteria bacterium (activated sludge metagenome) tRNA-Thr". It matches the Rfam family "tRNA". Rfam says of the family: Transfer RNA (tRNA) molecules are approximately 80 nucleotides in length. Their secondary structure includes four short double-helical elements and three loops (D, anti-codon, and T loops). Lineage: Bacteria; Pseudomonadati; Pseudomonadota. The record is from RNAcentral.